UAGGGAAUCUUCCGCAAUGGACGCAAGUCUGACGGAGCAACGCCGCGUGAGUGAAGAAGGUUUUCGGAUCGUAAAGCUCUGUUGUUAAGGAAGAACGAGUGUGAGAAUGGAAAGUUCAUACUGUGACGGUACUUAACCAGAAAGGGACGGCUAACUACGUGCCAGCAGCCGCGGUAAUACGUAGGUCCCGAGCGUUGUCCGGAUUUAUUGGGCGUAAAGCGAGCGCAGGCGGUUAGAUAAGUCUGAAGUUAAAGGCAGUGGCUCAACCAUUGUAGGCUUUGGAAACUGGUUAACUUGAGUGCAGAAGGGGAGAGUGGAAUUCCAUGUGUAGCGGUGAAAUGCGUAGAUAUAUGGAGGAACACCGGUGGCGAAAGCGGCUCUCUGGUCUGUAACUGACGCUGAGGCUCGAAAGCGUGGGGAGCGAACAGG
Molecule: ribosomal RNA, 429 nt
Filed under: Bacteroidota bacterium
Lineage: Bacteria; Pseudomonadati; Bacteroidota
Description: Bacteroidetes bacterium partial 16S ribosomal RNA
Rfam family: Bacterial small subunit ribosomal RNA
Source: RNAcentral